RNAcentral lists this unclassified non-coding RNA (189 nucleotides) under Phomopsis sp. DZF-M1c. RNAcentral's name for it is "partial ITS1". The record is from RNAcentral. Lineage: Eukaryota; Fungi; Ascomycota; Sordariomycetes; Diaporthales; Diaporthaceae.
CGGAGGGAUCAUUGCUGGAACGCGCCCUAGGCGCACCCAGAAACCCUUUGUGAACUUAUACCUUACUGUUGCCUCGGCGCAUGCUGGCCCCCUCGGGGUCCCCUGGAGACAGGGAGCAGGCACGCCGGCGGCCAAGUUAACUCUUGUUUUUACACUGAAACUCUGAGAAAAAAACACAAAUGAAUCAAA